This 227-nucleotide ribosomal RNA is filed under the name uncultured bacterium. Its description in RNAcentral is "partial 16S ribosomal RNA". It matches the Rfam family "Bacterial small subunit ribosomal RNA", at positions 15 to 230 of the family's 1533-position model. The record is from RNAcentral.
GAUCAUGGCUCAGGAUGAACGCUAGCUACAGGCUUAACACAUGCAAGUCGAGGGGAAACGACAUCGAAAGCUUGCUUUUGAUGGGCGUCGACCGGCGCACGGGUGAGUAACGCGUAUCCAACCUGCCCAUCACUUGGGAAUAACCUUGCGAAAGUAAGACUAAUGCCCAAUGACAUCCCACGAAGGCAUCCGAAUGGGAUUAAAGAUUUAUCGGUGAUGGAAUGGGG